RNAcentral lists this ribosomal RNA (2053 nucleotides) under Salmonella enterica subsp. enterica serovar Typhi str. CT18. RNAcentral describes it as "partial 23S ribosomal RNA". It matches the Rfam family "Bacterial large subunit ribosomal RNA", at positions 701 to 2735 of the family's 2925-position model. The record is from RNAcentral. Lineage: Bacteria; Pseudomonadati; Pseudomonadota; Gammaproteobacteria; Enterobacterales; Enterobacteriaceae.
UGCAGGGUAUAGACCCGAAACCCGGUGAUCUAGCCAUGGGCAGGUUGAAGGUUGGGUAACACUAACUGGAGGACCGAACCGACUAAUGUUGAAAAAUUAGCGGAUGACCUGUGGCUGGGGGUGAAAGGCCAAUCAAACCGGGAGAUAGCUGGUUCUCCCCGAAAGCUAUUUAGGUAGCGCCUCGUGAAUUCAUCUCCGGGGGUAGAGCACUGUUUCGGCUAGGGGGCCAUCCCGGCUUACCAACCCGAUGCAAACUGCGAAUACCGGAGAAUGUUAUCACGGGAGACACACGGCGGGUGCUAAUGUCCGUCGUGAAGAGGGAAACAACCCAGACCGCCAGCUAAGGUCCCAAAGUCAUGGUUAAGUGGGAAACGAUGUGGGAAGGCCCAGACAGCCAGGAUGUUGGCUUAGAAGCAGCCAUCAUUUAAAGAAAGCGUAAUAGCUCACUGGUCGAGUCGGCCUGCGCGGAAGAUGUAACGGGGCUAAACCAUGCACCGAAGCUGCGGCAGCGACACCGUGUGUUGUUGGGUAGGGGAGCGUUCUGUAAGCCUGUGAAGGUGUGCUGUGAGGCAUGCUGGAGGUAUCAGAAGUGCGAAUGCUGACAUAAGUAACGAUAAAGCGGGUGAAAAGCCCGCUCGCCGGAAGACCAAGGGUUCCUGUCCAACGUUAAUCGGGGCAGGGUGAGUCGACCCCUAAGGCGAGGCCGAAAGGCGUAGUCGAUGGGAAACGGGUUAAUAUUCCCGUACUUGGUGUUACUGCGAAGGGGGGACGGAGAAGGCUAUGUUGGCCGGGCGACGGUUGUCCCGGUUUAAGCGUGUAGGUAUGUGUUCCAGGUAAAUCCGGUUCACUUUAACACUGAGGCGUGACGACGAGGCACUACGGUGCUGAAGCAACAAAUGCCCUGCUUCCAGGAAAAGCCUCUAAGCAUCAGGUAACAUCAAAUCGUACCCCAAACCGACACAGGUGGUCAGGUAGAGAAUACCAAGGCGCUUGAGAGAACUCGGGUGAAGGAACUAGGCAAAAUGGUGCCGUAACUUCGGGAGAAGGCACGCUGACACGUAGGUGAAGUGAUUUACUCACGGAGCUGAAGUCAGCCGAAGAUACCAGCUGGCUGCAACUGUUUAUUAAAAACACAGCACUGUGCAAACACGAAAGUGGACGUAUACGGUGUGACGCCUGCCCGGUGCCGGAAGGUUAAUUGAUGGGGUCAGCGCAAGCGAAGCUCCUGAUCGAAGCCCCGGUAAACGGCGGCCGUAACUAUAACGGUCCUAAGGUAGCGAAAUUCCUUGUCGGGUAAGUUCCGACCUGCACGAAUGGCGUAAUGAUGGCCAGGCUGUCUCCACCCGAGACUCAGUGAAAUUGAACUCGCUGUGAAGAUGCAGUGUACCCGCGGCAAGACGGAAAGACCCCGUGAACCUUUACUAUAGCUUGACACUGAACAUUGAGCCUUGAUGUGUAGGAUAGGUGGGAGGCUUUGAAGUGUGGACGCCAGUCUGCAUGGAGCCGACCUUGAAAUACCACCCUUUAAUGUUUGAUGUUCUAACGUGGACCCGUGAUCCGGGUUGCGGACAGUGUCUGGUGGGUAGUUUGACUGGGGCGGUCUCCUCCUAAAGAGUAACGGAGGAGCACGAAGGUUGGCUAAUCCUGGUCGGACAUCAGGAGGUUAGUGCAAUGGCAUAAGCCAGCUUGACUGCGAGCGUGACGGCGCGAGCAGGUGCGAAAGCAGGUCAUAGUGAUCCGGUGGUUCUGAAUGGAAGGGCCAUCGCUCAACGGAUAAAAGGUACUCCGGGGAUAACAGGCUGAUACCGCCCAAGAGUUCAUAUCGACGGCGGUGUUUGGCACCUCGAUGUCGGCUCAUCACAUCCUGGGGCUGAAGUAGGUCCCAAGGGUAUGGCUGUUCGCCAUUUAAAGUGGUACGCGAGCUGGGUUUAGAACGUCGUGAGACAGUUCGGUCCCUAUCUGCCGUGGGCGCUGGAGAACUGAGGGGGGCUGCUCCUAGUACGAGAGGACCGGAGUGGACGCAUCACUGGUGUUCGGGUUGUCAUGCCAAUGG